RNAcentral lists this unclassified non-coding RNA (1863 nucleotides) under Hevea brasiliensis (rubber tree). The record is from RNAcentral. Lineage: Eukaryota; Viridiplantae; Streptophyta; Magnoliopsida; Malpighiales; Euphorbiaceae.
CUCCUCAGCUAGUUUUCCAGCAUCAUAUACUUUUUCAAACUUUAAACUGUUUUGGAGUAGUCAGCAGCAACACUGAAGGCAGAAACCACACCAGCCAUCCCAACUACCUGUGUCCAACUUCGUGUCCCGGCAGCAACAGCUGCCCCUGCCAUGGCACCCGCAAUUAAAGCAUUCACCUGUAACAAGAAAAAGCUUUGAUGACAUUUAUCAAUAAUCUUCAAACCAAGUCCAAGAGACCAUAGCAUUUGAUGAAUGAGCCUUUUCUCAUUUUCUAUAGAAUUAAUAGAAUGAACCAAUGAUGCACCAGUCAUUCUAUAAAUUGAAAAACCAAUAUAUACUCCUGUCCUAAACAUACAAUCAAGAGAAAAUGCACAGGCCUCUCCUUGAAGUCAACUAAUGAAAGUUGUGUGCACCGGCUCUUAUAGUGCUUAGAACACAGACACAGACUAAAAAAGAAAAAUAUAUCGCAAAGUGAUUUCUUGUAACAAUAAAUUUGGUCAAGUUAAUGAUACCCACUGCAAAGAAUUAUCUUAAGCUCAUUUGGAUACAUGAGGAUUUGAAAAGCAAGAGUAUUUGAAUUACAUGUUUAUGAUACAAAUCCACAUUCAUAUUCAUUUCAAAUGUAUACAUAUCCAAAUGGUAUAGGAAGGAUCAUUCGAUUUUUUCAUCUUUUCUUUUGCUUUCUUUGUUAAAUCAUAUUGUUUUCUUUUCCUUUCCGUAUUGAAUCAUAUUUUCAUAAAUAGGGCAAGGUUCAUCAAUAAUUUAAGGUGUGUUAGUCUGAAGAGGCAGUUCAGUAACUUAAGACUUAAGAUUAUCAAACUAAUAAGCUUGAAUUUUUGUAGAAAAGAUAGAAAUGUAACUAACCCAGUCAUCCUUUUUCCUGUAUCUUUCAAUUCCACAACGGGAAAAAGUAAAAACUCCAGCAACAAGCCCUGAAGAACACGAGAUGAUAGAGAUGCAGACAAGGAAGAAUGAAAAAAGUUACAACCUCAAAACAACUGGCAGGAACCUCAAUAAGAAUCAAAUGGCAUUGAGAGGAACACCUUGAGGCAGUUAUAGGAAGCAAUAAUUCAGAAAAAAGACAAACAAUCAGAGAUAAUAUAAGGGAAUAAUGAUGAAAUGUGUUAUAAAAAAUACAAAACAAAACAAAACAAAACUUGAUUGAGGAUGACACAGGUUAUAAUAAAGCAGUGAAGAUGCAAUCAGUGGGUUUCCAAAAUGCAUGGAAUCAAAUUUUAUUGUCAUUCCAUAAGUAUUACACAUUCUCUUCCUCCUAAACCUAUACAUGUUCCCGAAAAUUAAUCAACUCUAAUUCCUCAAUAAUCACCUCAUUCAUCUUUUUCUAGCAGCAUGUCCUGAAACAUUAAGCUAAGACAUGUUCGACAUGGGAACUGGGGUGAUAAAAAGUAUUUAAGUUUAGAAUUAGCUUGGUUCCAAAAAUAAGCAAGUAUUAAGGUUAACAACUUGACGGUUAUGAGCAUAGCUGAUUAAGGCCCUUUCAACAAACAUGUAACUCCAUGCUUGCACAUAUAGAAAUGCUUGCACAGGAAUAUAGAAUCACUCUCUUUCACUUACUUAUUAGACUAAUACAAAUCAAAAUCAAAUGACAUGCGAGCACAUAAUGCUACCACUAUAUGUAAAUAGUUUCACACUUAAAAAUAUUAUCAAGCGUAAUGCUAAAGCUACUUAGUAUCACCACAGAAAACCUAGAUAUUCAUCAGAUUACCACAUUGAAAGCCGAAUUUUCCGAUUGACUUUGCCUGCAUAUCAAAUUAAAAUAAAAAUAAUAAUUGAUGGUCCAGACGUUACACCAGAAAACAUCAAAAUCAAGGAUUGUGUGAACAUUUAAAUUGAAAUAUCAUA